Long non-coding RNA from Phasianus colchicus (ring-necked pheasant), 977 nucleotides. RefSeq lists it as uncharacterized. The record is from RefSeq and is a predicted model, not a curated record. NCBI's taxonomy places the organism in Eukaryota, Metazoa, Chordata, Aves, Galliformes, Phasianidae.
UCUGCAAUUUUUUGGCAGAUCUUCUGCUGACAUGCAAGAAGACAGCCUGGCGAGAAAUCCAACUAUGUGUUUACCUUUGAACAGAUGGUGGGACCUGACUUCUGAUGAGCUCCUGUUGGCUCUAGUAGGUUCUGGCCUGCUCUUAGUGCUGACUCUCACAUUAGUUGCCCCCAGUGCAGGAUGAGGGUGCUUAAUGCUCAAGAUGGAGGAGGAAAAAGAAGACUUGCAGUAGUUGUGAUCUUUGGUUCUAAGCCAAGGAAGUUUGGCUAUCUCUGGAAGAGGGGAAGUUUGAAUAAAUUAUCCAAGUCAUUGCAGAGAUUAUUACUCCCUCUGGGUCUUCUCUGGGAAAGGUGAUGAUGGGAGAGCACGGGAAAGGAAGCAAUUGAAGUUUGGUAGAGCAGAGGCUUGUGCCUAAUAUUGGGCUGCCCCGACAAAAACAUGCCUGUGAAGUGUGUACAGUGAAAGCACCUAGCAAUGUUUGUUUUUGCUGGCUGCACAUCUGUGGUCCUUAAAUGUGGUGGAAUCUAGUGCCAGAGUACAGAAGAAGGCAUCUGAAGCUUUCCAGCUGAGUGUGUUAGACUCCUGGCACUGCUGUUGUACUCUGGUGCAUUACUCAGCUUUUGUGCUGCCAGACUGAAAUGUCAAUGCAAGUAACUGUCAGCCUCCCAGGAGGUGAAAUGGAGAGCACCAUUCCCCCCUCCCUAGGAUUUGGGAGAAAAUGGCCCCUGUGUCUGGAAAGAAACCUCAUACUGACCUCACCGAAGAAAUCUGGAUGUCUUCUUCCUGCUUUAAAAGAGCAAAUAAGGAUGAAUAUAGAUGAAGUGGCCAGCAAAACUUCAAGCCAAGUCAGUUACAACAUAUCUGCAACCACAAGCCAAUUAGACCUGCCCUGGGGGUUUAAUACAGCGUGCGAGACAAUGUCAGUAUCUGAAAGUCUGCAGUGCUUUCUAGCCCAUGCAAAAAAAUAAAAACAAAAU